GUCAUUCCGCUCGAAACGUUCGAGCUGUACGGUCGCGUGGGUGCUGCGUCAGAGGAACGAACACGAUACAACCCUCCGUUAUCAUCCACUUGCUCGUCGUCUCGUUCCAAAGGGAAACACCAUAAUUGCAGACGUAAUGCGUUCUCGGUGCAACGAAGCUUUCUACCUCGGGCUACAAUGGUAAAGAACGUUGUAGAAAAA
Molecule: long non-coding RNA, 201 nt
Filed under: Polistes fuscatus (common paper wasp)
Lineage: Eukaryota; Metazoa; Arthropoda; Insecta; Hymenoptera; Vespidae
Description: uncharacterized LOC122514172
Source: RNAcentral